GGGAGAGCACCUCCCUUACAAGGAGGGGGUCGGCGGUUCGAUCCCGUCAUCACCCACCA
This 59-nucleotide transfer RNA is filed under the name Klebsiella pneumoniae. RNAcentral describes it as "tRNA-Ser". It matches the Rfam family "tRNA", at positions 17 to 71 of the family's 71-position model. From Rfam's summary of the family: Transfer RNA (tRNA) molecules are approximately 80 nucleotides in length. Their secondary structure includes four short double-helical elements and three loops (D, anti-codon, and T loops). The record is from RNAcentral. RNAcentral also lists the same sequence under 7 other names. Lineage: Bacteria; Pseudomonadati; Pseudomonadota; Gammaproteobacteria; Enterobacterales; Enterobacteriaceae.